Molecule: transfer RNA, 88 nt
Filed under: Kiritimatiellaceae bacterium
Lineage: Bacteria; Pseudomonadati; Kiritimatiellota; Kiritimatiellia; Kiritimatiellales; Kiritimatiellaceae
Description: tRNA-Leu
Rfam family: tRNA
About the family: Transfer RNA (tRNA) molecules are approximately 80 nucleotides in length. Their secondary structure includes four short double-helical elements and three loops (D, anti-codon, and T loops). Further hydrogen bonds mediate the characteristic L-shaped molecular structure. tRNAs have two regions of fundamental functional importance: the anti-codon, which is responsible for specific mRNA codon recognition, and the 3' end, to which the tRNAs corresponding amino acid is attached (by aminoacyl-tRNA synthetases). tRNAs cope with the degeneracy of the genetic code in two manners: having more than one tRNA (with a specific anti-codon) for a particular amino acid; and 'wobble' base-pairing, i.e. permitting non-standard base-pairing at the 3rd anti-codon position.
Source: RNAcentral
GCCCAAGUGGUGAAAUUGGUAGACACAAGGGACUUAAACUCCCUCGGCCAUUGCGGCUGUGCCGGUUCAAGUCCGGCCUUGGGCACCA